RNAcentral lists this ribosomal RNA (1237 nucleotides) under uncultured organism. Its description in RNAcentral is "bacterial SSU rRNA". It matches the Rfam family "Bacterial small subunit ribosomal RNA", at positions 56 to 1308 of the family's 1533-position model. The record is from RNAcentral.
UGCAAGUCGAGCGGAGAUUGCAUUUAUGUAAUCUUAGCGGCGGACGGGUGAGUAACGCGUAGGCAACCUGCCUUGCACAGAGGGAUAACACUGGGAAACUGGUGCUAAUACCACAUAAAAUCAUAACAAGGCAUCUUGAAAUGAUCAAAGGAGAAAUCCGGUGCAAGAUGGGCCUGCGUCCGAUUAGCUAGUUGGUGAGGUAACGGCUCACCAAGGCGACGAUCGGUAGCCGAACUGAGAGGUUGAUCGGCCACAUUGGGACUGAGACACGGCCCAGACUCCUACGGGAGGCAGCAGUGGGGAAUAUUGCGCAAUGGGGGAAACCCUGACGCAGCAACGCCGCGUGAAGGAAGAAGGCCUUCGGGUUGUAAACUUUUUUGAUUGGGGAAGAAAAAAAUGACGGUACCCAAGGAACAAGCCACGGCUAACUACGUGCCAGCAGCCGCGGUAAUACGUAGGUGGCGAGCGUUGUCCGGAAUUACUGGGUGUAAAGGGCGUGUAGGCGGGAUUGUAAGUCAGAUGUGAAAUUCCAGGGCUUAACUCUGGAGGUGCAUCUGAAACUAUAAUUCUUGAGUGCUGGAGAGGAAAGCGGAAUUCCUAGUGUAGCGGUGAAAUGCGUAGAUAUUAGGAAGAACACCAGUGGCGAAGGCGGCUUUCUGGACAGUAACUGACGCUGAGGCGCGAAAGCGUGGGGAGCAAACAGGAUUAGAUACCCUGGUAGUCCACGCUGUAAACGAUGGAUACUAGGUGUAGGAGGUAUCGACCCCUUCUGUGCCGGAGUUAACACAAUAAGUAUCCCACCUGGGGAGUACGGGCGCAAGGCUGAAACUCAAAGGAAUUGACGGGGGCCCGCACAAGCUGUGGAAUAUGUGGUUAAAUUCGAAGCCACGCGGAGCACCUUACCAGGGCUUGACAUCCCUCGUAUAAUAUAGAGAUAUGAUAGUCCUUCGGGACGAGGAGACAGGUGGUACUAUGGUUGUCCGUCAGCUCGUCUCGUGAGAUUUUGGGAUAAGUCCCGCAGCGAGCGCAACCCAUAUUGUUAGCUGCUAUCAUUAAGUUGCACACUCUAGCGAGACUGCGCGGUGACAUAUCGGAGGAAGUGUGGGGACAGACGUCAAAUCAUAAGGCCCCUAAUGUCUUGGGCUACACACGUACUACAAUGGUCACUACAAAGGGAAGCAAUCCCGCAAGGAGGAGCAAAUCCCCAAAAGUGAUCUCAGUUCGGAUUGUGGGCUGA